Long non-coding RNA from Phalaenopsis equestris, 1131 nucleotides. RefSeq lists it as uncharacterized. The transcript has 5 exons. The record is from RefSeq and is a predicted model, not a curated record. Lineage: Eukaryota; Viridiplantae; Streptophyta; Magnoliopsida; Asparagales; Orchidaceae.
UUCACACAUUGAUUUAAAAUAACAAAGAUUUAUGUAUCAUCUUUUCAUGCAUGUUUGUUAACAAAAUGGGUAUGGUCGUUCAUUUUAGCCUCAAAAUUUUUAACUGUUCAAUUUGAUCUAUUAACUCAAGUUUUCAUUUGUAGGCAUGUGGAACAGAGUAGUUGGAAAAGCAUAUUAAUAAUGUACAAGGGCUUCAAUGAUUGACAUAAAAGGAUUCUUGUUGCUACCGAUUUGGUUGGGAGGGGAAUCGACAUAGAGCGUGUAAACAUCGUUAUCAACUAUGAUAUGCCUGAUUCCACGGACACUUUAAGAAGUAUAAUAAACCUUUUUCCUGCAUAGGGAACUUAAGCUAAAAUUGAAGUAGUUCCUUCGGGAUAAAGCUGACCUCUUCAAGAAUGAAGAUCUUGAAAAUGACAAGGUAAAGCUCAGCUGUCCUGGCUGGAAAACAAGAUCAAAAUUGUUGCUGAAUUCCCUCUCAAUAUCUCCAAAAACAAAGGAGUCGAUUUUACAUUGCUACAAAAUGGUCAGUGUCCCUAAAAGCGCAAAACUAUGGAUACUUAUAUCAACCACGUGGCAAACAAGGAUUAGCUUCUAAAUGAUGCAUUUUUUAUCCCAUACUUUUCUUACGGCACAGAGAAACCUCUAUUUUGAUAUUUCAACAAAGUUUUUUCUGCACCAAUUUCAUUCAUCACAGAAAAUGGCUGAAUUGGGGUGCACAGUGAACAUCAGUCUCAUAUCCAGUGAAGUCGUUAUGAAUGAUCCAUCCAAGUUGCUAAUGGAGCCUUAUAUCACCUCAUUGGGAAUGCUGGAAAAUCCAGAUAAUGAUUAAUUGGUGCUGGUUUCAGUUCCAACUGAGAUAGAACAGUGUGUUUCGCAAGAUAGCUCAUUCUUUCAGAUGAGAAGUUGUUUGAAUAUCUUAUACCACACAACAAUCUAAAAAAUGAAGAUGAUGUAUUCAGUCAGUCGAGGAGGUACUUUAAUGGACAAAAUAUGAUCUCUAAUUUUUCAUAGGGAAUAGAUUUUGGAAUGCUGCAAGAGUUAGUACCAAUCUUAAGUUUCUCCAUUUCUUGAGCAGUAAUAUUUGUAUUUUUUUUCAUUUUUUUUUUGUACAUUCUACCCAAUGUAUUACAA